RNAcentral lists this ribosomal RNA (743 nucleotides) under uncultured Neisseriales bacterium. RNAcentral describes it as "bacterial SSU rRNA". It matches the Rfam family "Bacterial small subunit ribosomal RNA", at positions 109 to 848 of the family's 1533-position model. Lineage: Bacteria; Pseudomonadati; Pseudomonadota; Betaproteobacteria; Neisseriales. The record is from RNAcentral.
AGUAACAUAUCGGAACGUACCGAGCAGUGGGGGAUAACUAAUCGAAAGAUUAGCUAAUACCGCAUAUAUUCUGAGGAAGAAAGCAGGGGACCAUUUGGCCUUGCGCUGUUUGAGCGGCCGAUAUCUGAUUAGCUGGUUGGUGGGGUAAAGGCCUACCAAGGCGACGAUCAGUAGCGGGUCUGAGAGGAUGAUCCGCCACACUGGGACUGAGACACGGCCCAGACUCCUACGGGAGGCAGCAGUGGGGAAUUUUGGACAAUGGGCGCAAGCCUGAUCCAGCCAUGCCGCGUGUCUGAAGAAGGCCUUCGGGUUGUAAAGGACUUUUGUCAGGGAGGAAAAGGACAGGGUUAAUACCCCUGUCUGAUGACGGUACCUGAAGAAUAAGCACCGGCUAACUACGUGCCAGCAGCCGCGGUAAUACGUAGGGUGCGAGCGUUAAUCGGAAUUACUGGGCGUAAAGCGGGCGCAGACGGUUACUUAAGCAGGAUGUGAAAUCCCCGGGCUCAACCUGGGAACUGCGUUCUGAACUGGGUGACUAGAGUGUGUCAGAGGGAGGUAGAAUUCCACGUGUAGCAGUGAAAUGCGUAGAGAUGUGGAGGAAUACCGAUGGCGAAGGCAGCCUCCUGGGAUAACACUGACGUUCAUGCCCGAAAGCGUGGGUAGCAAACAGGAUUAGAUAACCUGGUAGUCCACGCCCUAAACGAUGUCGAUUAGCUGUUGGGCAGCUUGACUGCUUAGUAGCG